Molecule: transfer RNA, 88 nt
Filed under: Deltaproteobacteria bacterium
Lineage: Bacteria; Pseudomonadati; Myxococcota; Myxococcia
Also listed under: 1 other name
Description: tRNA-Leu
Rfam family: tRNA
About the family: Transfer RNA (tRNA) molecules are approximately 80 nucleotides in length. Their secondary structure includes four short double-helical elements and three loops (D, anti-codon, and T loops). Further hydrogen bonds mediate the characteristic L-shaped molecular structure. tRNAs have two regions of fundamental functional importance: the anti-codon, which is responsible for specific mRNA codon recognition, and the 3' end, to which the tRNAs corresponding amino acid is attached (by aminoacyl-tRNA synthetases). tRNAs cope with the degeneracy of the genetic code in two manners: having more than one tRNA (with a specific anti-codon) for a particular amino acid; and 'wobble' base-pairing, i.e. permitting non-standard base-pairing at the 3rd anti-codon position.
Source: RNAcentral
GCCCGGGUGGUGAAAUUGGUAGACACAAGGGACUUAAAAUCCCUCGGAGAUUUUCUCUGUGCCGGUUCGACUCCGGCCCUGGGCACCA